GGGCGUGUGGUCUAGGGGUAUGGCGUCCGCUUCGCAUUAAUGCUCCGGCAGCAUCCUUGCGGAAGGUCCGGGGUUCAAUUCCCCGCUCGUCCA
RNAcentral lists this transfer RNA (93 nucleotides) under Dactylonectria estremocensis. RNAcentral's name for it is "Ilyonectria sp. 3 AC-2011 tRNA". It matches the Rfam family "tRNA". Rfam says of the family: Transfer RNA (tRNA) molecules are approximately 80 nucleotides in length. Their secondary structure includes four short double-helical elements and three loops (D, anti-codon, and T loops). Lineage: Eukaryota; Fungi; Ascomycota; Sordariomycetes; Hypocreales; Nectriaceae. The record is from Rfam by way of RNAcentral.